RNAcentral lists this unclassified non-coding RNA (90 nucleotides) under Pseudomonas mediterranea. The record is from RNAcentral. Lineage: Bacteria; Pseudomonadati; Pseudomonadota; Gammaproteobacteria; Pseudomonadales; Pseudomonadaceae.
UGUGGGAGCGAGCCUGCUCGCGAUGGCGGUGGGUCAGCUUGCAUUGAUGUCGAAUAUCAAACCGCUAUCGCGAGCAGGCUCGCUCCCACA